RNAcentral lists this ribosomal RNA (427 nucleotides) under uncultured bacterium. RNAcentral's name for it is "bacterial SSU rRNA". It matches the Rfam family "Bacterial small subunit ribosomal RNA", at positions 355 to 774 of the family's 1533-position model. The record is from RNAcentral.
UGAGGAAUAUUGGACAAUGGGCGCAAGCCUGAUCCAGCAAUGCCGCGUGCAGGAUGAAGGCCUUCGGGUUGUAAACUGCUUUUGUACGGAGCGAAAAGGUCUGCCCUAAUACGGUGGGCUCAUGACGGUACCGUAAGAAUAAGCACCGGCUAACUACGUGCCAGCAGCCGCGGUAAUACGUAGGGUGCGAGCGUUAAUCGGAAUUACUGGGCGUAAAGCGUGCGCAGGUGGUUAUAUAAGACAGAUGUGAAAUCCCCGGGCUCAACCUGGGACCUGCAUUUGUGACUGUAUAGCUAGAGUACGGUAGAGGGGGAUGGAAUUCCGCGUGUAGCAGUGAAAUGCGUAGAUAUGCGGAGGAACACCGAUGGCGAAGGCAAUCCCCUGGACCUGUACUGACGCUCAUGCACGAAAGCGUGGGGAGCAAACA